Molecule: long non-coding RNA, 683 nt
Organism: Cynoglossus semilaevis (tongue sole)
Lineage: Eukaryota; Metazoa; Chordata; Actinopteri; Pleuronectiformes; Cynoglossidae
Exons: 5
Source: RefSeq, a predicted model, not a curated record
CCGGCGGAAGUUGUGCUUCGUUCCGCUCUGUAUCAACAAGGUGCUACCGUGACACAGAAAAGAGCAAAAUGAAUGUAUCAGAAAGUCGACAAGAGCCGGUGUGAACCCUCUGAGGAGUCACAGCGACCCCUGUGGAGUAACGGAGACCCCUGAGGAGUCACUGUCAUCUGUGAAAAGAUGAGCCUGAAACAGUGGAAAAAACUCAGUCGGCCUCAGUCGUGUCUAGACAACAGGAAAUGCAAAAUUGCAUUUGUUUACAGCCACAUGCUGCUGAAGGCAGUUGGUGGUGGUUCAGCGGCAGCAGCAGCAGUGAGGAGGGCGGAUGUUUCUGCCUGUGAGGCUCAGCCCGAGACAAAGAGCUACCUGUGGUCACGCUGCUGUGAAUGUGAAAAGACUUUUCACUUUGAUCAGAGCCGUUCCAUUCACAUUCAACAUUCACAGAAGUUUCUGGUAAUUGUUUCUGAUAGAAGAGGAAGAAAAAGUAGAAGACAAAGGGAGAGAAAAAGGAGCUCCUGCUGCUGCAUUCAACACCAGCGCCGCUGUGUUUUAUACCAACCUGAGUCUGAAGACGUCAGUCCUGCUGGACUUCCUGUGAGUCACCCGUCUGCAGCCUGGAGCGAAUCACAGAUAUUUAUCAUGCAAGAUGGCACACAUUCCCAGGCUUACAGUCCGACUGCUGCUGC